UACGUAGGGUGCGAGCGUUAAUCGGAAUUACUGGGCGUAAAGCGUGCGCAGGCGGUCUGUUAAGACCGAUGUGAAAUCCCCGGGCUUAACCUGGGAACUGCGCUCGAAACGGGAUGACUAGAGAUCGGGAGAGGAGAGUGGAAUUCCCAGUGUAGAGGUGAAAUUCGUAGAUAUCGGGAGGAACACCAGUGGCGAAGGCGGCGACCUGGACGGACACUGACGCUGAGACGCGAAAGCGUGGGGAGCAAACAGG
This 253-nucleotide ribosomal RNA is filed under the name uncultured bacterium. RNAcentral describes it as "partial 16S ribosomal RNA". It matches the Rfam family "Bacterial small subunit ribosomal RNA", at positions 524 to 776 of the family's 1533-position model. The record is from RNAcentral.